UGAAAUCUUCACCAUCACAACUACUCACGCCAUCUCAAACCUCCAUCAACCACCACCGCCUGAAAACUGCAUCACUGAGAAGCACACCAACCACCAAAUUUUCGCCCUUUUACCCCAAACACCAUCGUCAGCCAAGAAAAAAUUUAUGCCUUGCACCAUCCUUUCAUUCUCCUACAAUCAUUUAUCUCUCUCCAAACGACCACAGAACUACCAUCACUCAAAAAUCAAUACCCUUCACCACCACACCAAAACCUACCAAGAACUGGUAAUCCCUUCUUCUCUAUAACAAACCAGCAAUGCAUAACAACAAUUUCUCUUUUCUCUUCUCUAUAACUGGAAUUCCGACCAACACCACAGUCGUUCUGCCUCUUUCUAUCUACAACCAUCACUUACCCUGUUCUUUAUUUGUGAAACCUUGAUCCUCCCAUCACCUUCCACCUCCAUCGUCAUUAUCCCUAACCCCCACUGGUAAUCAAUCCAUAUUCUCUGUGGUACCCUCCCUUCUAUUGUAGAGCAUAAAACCCUUCUCUAUUCAAUACAUUUCUCCCCCUUUUUCUUUAAAAUAAUUUCAGUCGUCCAGUACACCAACAAAAUUAGUGGACUUAUCUGAUAUCAUUUUGCACCACCUAAUGCUCUAAUACCAUUGUCACCAGAUCGAUGAACACACAUAGAAACAAAUCCGGUAAGAUUUUAACCCUAGAAAUUGUUGUUUUUCGUUAUUUGGCGUAGGGGUAAUAUUUAACCAUGGUGUUUUGCAGCCCAGGUGAUUUUUUUGUAUAUGCCAUGAGAUCUGGAGCUCAUCUCGAGACCUGCUUCCAUAAAAAUAAAUUCAAGCUUUUAGAUAGUUUUUGAGCUGUAGACAUUGUGAGCAGCCUUAAAAAGUGACUGAAGAUCUUAAGGUCUUU
This 905-nucleotide long non-coding RNA is filed under the name Lactuca sativa (garden lettuce). RNAcentral's name for it is "long non-coding RNA (LSAT_LNC004185)". Lineage: Eukaryota; Viridiplantae; Streptophyta; Magnoliopsida; Asterales; Asteraceae. The record is from RNAcentral.